Molecule: long non-coding RNA, 1601 nt
Filed under: Rattus norvegicus (Norway rat)
Lineage: Eukaryota; Metazoa; Chordata; Mammalia; Rodentia; Muridae
Description: long non-coding RNA NONRATT028299
Source: RNAcentral
GAAUUUAUGUGCACCCCAUAAAUGCAGGUCUCUGAAGAGGCUUAGAAGAAAGCAUAAGAGAUACUCCGGAGAUGAUAUUACAGAUAAUAGUGAGGUGCCUGAUGUGGAUGCUGGGAAUGGAACCCAGGUCCUCUGCAAGAGCAGUGAGUGAUAAUAACUGUUGCACCAUCUCUCCAGUCUCCACUGGCUAAUAUUUAAUAUACACUGAUACGGUGAAGGCCGUAGCCUGAGGAGAAAUACCCUCUCCUCAGCUUUGUCCAAGGACAGUUCCUUAAGUUCCAGAAAAACACAAGUGGAUUGGCCACCUUCAUAUAGAUGGUCUGCUUAAUGUAACAGCUAAGAGUUCUGGGGCAUAGCUGGACAGGAAAGAUGUCACAGCCUGCCUACUAUCUACUGUGAGGGAACCCUGGCUGCCAAUGUUGUAUAUUGAUGAGAUUAAUAUUUGUAACAGCUAAGAACUCAGAAACAACAACAAAAACCUCUAAAGAGCGUAGUGAUUGCUGGGAGAAGAGUCAUUCUCCCCAGUGGUGUAUUUACCUGUAAUUUGUCCAUGCUUCAGUAAUUAGCUCCCACCUAUGCUCAUGAACAGUUCCAAUGGUUUUGGGGCAUUCACAUACACAAACAUAUAGAAGGGACUUGUUGGAAUGGAGUUCAGUGACACUGAGAGAUGAAAGCAAUGUGAAAGUGGCCAAAAUACGUUAUACAUGUAGAAGAAUGUCAAAGGGUGGGGCUAGGGAGAUUGCUCAGUGGUUAAGAAUUGUUGAUCUUGCAGAGGAUCUGGACCCAGUUCCUAGCACAUACCUGGUAGUUCACAAUCAGUGCCCCCAACUCCUUUUAACUUCCACAGGCAACAGGUAUUUAUUUGGUGCACAUAACAUCAUACAUGCACACACACACACACACACACACACACACACACACACACACACACACACACACACACAAAGAACAGGCAUGUGGUUUGAAUGAGAAUAACACUAAUAGGCUCCUAUUUUGAAUGAUUGGUUCCUACUUGAUAGUUUGUUUUGGGGAAGGAUUGAGAGGCCUUGUUGGAGGAGGUGUGUCACUGUGAGCUUUCAAAAGCCCAUGCCAGGCUCACUCUUUGCUUCCAACUUGUGAUAAAGUUGUAAACUGAGCUGCUCUAGUACUAUGCCAUGCCUGCCUGCUGCCAUGCUCCCAAUCAUGGUCAUGGAUACAUCUGAAACUGUAAGCAAGCCCUCAAUGAAAUUCUUUUUAAGUUGUCUUGGUCAUGGUAUCUCUUCACAGCAAAAAAACAGUAAGACAAAAAUUAUUUGUGGUCACUCUUAUGCAGAUCUACAAUGAAAAAGCAAGUGGAACAAAAAGGGAAGUACAAAAUGUGAAGGAAAAGAACACCAGGAAAUUUAAUGUUGGAGUCAAAUCUUACACUUAAAGAGAUGAAAAGUUUAAAGAAAGGCCUGAUAUGAAAUGGAAUAAAGGGAGUCAUUCUCUUGGGGCAAGACUCCACCCAGUCAAAUGUCCAACUUGUAAUAGAAAAUGCUUAAGAAAUUUUCUAAAGCAAAAGAAAAUUUAUUCAACAAAGGAAAGCAUCAACAAAUCAAAGCUUAUGGAAGUGUAAUUCA